ACGCUGGCGACGUGCCUAACACAUGCAAGUCAACUUGACUGAAGGAGCAAUCUGACAGUAGAGUGGCGCAAGGGUGCGUAACGCGUAAGUAACUUGCCCCAAGGUAAGGAAUAACGUCGAGAAAUCGGCGCUAAUACCUCAUAAUGCAGCGGAUCCGCAUGGAUAUGUUGUUAAAGGUUUACCGCCUUGGGAUAGGCUUGCGUCUGAUUAGCUAGUUGGUGUGGUAACGGCACACCAAGGCUACGAUCAGUAACUGGUCUGAGAGGAUGAUCAGUCACACUGGAACUGAGACACGGUCCAGACUCCUACGGGAGGCAGCAGUGAGGAAUAUUGGGCAAUGCUCGAAAGAGUGACCCAGCAACGCCGCGUGGAGGAUGAAGGUAUUCUAUAUCGUAAACUCCUGUGAGAGCAGACGAAAGACAGAUUAUUAAUCUGGAUGACUGUAUGCUCAGAGGAAGCCCCGGCUAACUACGUG
This 475-nucleotide ribosomal RNA is filed under the name uncultured bacterium. RNAcentral describes it as "bacterial SSU rRNA". It matches the Rfam family "Bacterial small subunit ribosomal RNA", at positions 33 to 507 of the family's 1533-position model. The record is from RNAcentral.